This 57-nucleotide transfer RNA is filed under the name Cricetulus griseus (Chinese hamster). It matches the Rfam family "tRNA", at positions 9 to 63 of the family's 71-position model. Rfam says of the family: Transfer RNA (tRNA) molecules are approximately 80 nucleotides in length. Their secondary structure includes four short double-helical elements and three loops (D, anti-codon, and T loops). The record is from Rfam by way of RNAcentral. Lineage: Eukaryota; Metazoa; Chordata; Mammalia; Rodentia; Cricetidae.
AGCUCAGUCGGUAGAGCAUAAGACUCUUAAUCUCAGGGUCGUGGGUUCGUGCCCCAC